AACGUAGGACACAAGCGUUAUCCGGAAUUACUGGGCGUAAAGCGCAUGCAGGCGGAUUACCAAGUCAUGUGUGAAAGCUCCCGGCUAAACUGGGAGAGGACGGAUGAGACUGGUAGUCUGGAGGGUGGUAGAGGCGUGUGGAAUUCCGCGUGUAGUGGUGAAAUGCGUAGAGAUGCGGAGGAACACCAGUGGCGAAGGCGGCACGCUGGGCCAUACCUGACGCUGAGAUGCGAAAGCAUGGGGAGCGAACGGG
RNAcentral lists this ribosomal RNA (253 nucleotides) under uncultured bacterium. RNAcentral describes it as "partial 16S ribosomal RNA". It matches the Rfam family "Bacterial small subunit ribosomal RNA", at positions 524 to 776 of the family's 1533-position model. The record is from RNAcentral.